This 537-nucleotide long non-coding RNA is filed under the name Heterocephalus glaber (naked mole-rat). RNAcentral describes it as "lncRNA (ENSHGLG00100037850.1)". The record is from RNAcentral. Lineage: Eukaryota; Metazoa; Chordata; Mammalia; Rodentia; Bathyergidae.
GUGAGGCAGAGGCUCAGGGUUCUUCUGCCUACUAGAGGCAAGAGCCUUCUGGCUUCCUGCAUGUUAAGGUGACUCAAUGUGUCUGUCAUUCAUCAACAACCCCUCCCCAGAGAGAACAAAGUAGCAUGCCUAUGUCCUGGAACAAGGCCAGCCGGCCAGGUGGGGGUUGAUUACAGGGACCCCUCCCUCAAGUAAAAGUAAUAAUUGUGGAGGAAAAAAAUCUCACCAACUUGGAACCUCUCUAUCCAACAUUUUCAACCCUUCUGCACAAUAUCCUAGGUUUCCUGGCUCCUCAACCUACAAAUGGCCAUUGUGGAACCAUCCAGCCUCUGAUCAUAUGCAAGCUGCCCAGAAAGGAGGUGUGACCUGAGUUGGGAAGCAAUUUCUGGAGAGAGUGAACAGUUGGGAGGCAUUAGCCAAAGCACUUCCAGAGCUGAAUAUCCUCAGUCCAACAGUUUUGGAGAUGUGUGGAGUACGCAACAUUGUUCACCUGUCCAGGUUAUGGUGGGUUGCUGGAGCUAUUAGUUUUGGACUGAG